Molecule: ribosomal RNA, 400 nt
Filed under: uncultured bacterium
Lineage: Bacteria
Description: bacterial SSU rRNA
Rfam family: Bacterial small subunit ribosomal RNA
Source: RNAcentral
UGGGGAAUAUUGGACAAUGGGGGCAACCCUGAUCCAGCAAUGCCGCGUGUGUGAAGAAGGCCUGAGGGUUGUAAAGCACUUUAGUUAGGGAGGAAGUUGGUUGUGUUAAUAGCAUGAUUGACUGACGUUACCUGAGGAAUAAGCACCGGCUAACUCUGUGCCAGCAGCCGCGGUAAUACAGAGGGUGCGAGCGUUAAUCGGAAUGACUGGGCGUAAAGGGCGCGUAGGCGGUUUGGUAAGUCAGAUGUGAAAGCCCUGGGCUUAACCUAGGAAUGGCAUCUGGUACUGCUGAGCUGGAGUAUAGGAGAGGGCAGUGGAAUUUCCGGUGUAGCGGUGAAAUGCGUAGAUAUCGGAAGGAACACCAGUGGCGAAGGCGGCUGUCUGGCCUGAUACUGACGCU